UACGUAGGGUGCAAGCGUUAAUCGGAAUUACUGGGCGUAAAGCGUGCGCAGGCGGUUAUGCAAGACAGAUGUGAAAUCCCCGGGCUUAACCUGGGAACCGCAUUUGUGACUGCAUAGCUGGAGUACGGCAGAGGGGGAUGGAAUUCCGCGUGUAGCAGUGAAAUGCGUAGAUAUGCGGAGGAACACCGAUGGCGAAGGCAGUCCCCUGGGCCUGCACUGACGCUCAUGCACGAAAGCGUGGGGAGCAAACAGG
RNAcentral lists this ribosomal RNA (253 nucleotides) under uncultured bacterium. Its description in RNAcentral is "partial 16S ribosomal RNA". It matches the Rfam family "Bacterial small subunit ribosomal RNA", at positions 524 to 776 of the family's 1533-position model. The record is from RNAcentral.